Molecule: long non-coding RNA, 564 nt
Organism: Osmia lignaria (orchard mason bee)
Lineage: Eukaryota; Metazoa; Arthropoda; Insecta; Hymenoptera; Megachilidae
Source: RefSeq, a predicted model, not a curated record
GAUCCCCCCAAGUGGAGGGGAUAGCGAUAUUGCAUAUAUCCAGCCAAUCUUUCGUUGCUUUCCUGUAAAUAAAAAUUGUUCAAAUUGUCGUUUUCAACUCGUUUUCAACGUAUCGUUUUCGAAUCGCUGUUAAAUGACCAAAGGAAAGUCUCCGGAGGGGAAAUACAUUUACGUACGCGCGGGUUGGUCCCUUUCGCACUACAUAUUCGGCUAGGGUUCGCUCGGGUAGUACCUGUAGUACAGCACAGAUAAAGAAGUUACAAAAAAUAUAUACUGAUCGAAUUGAGUAACCUCCUCCUUUUCGAAGUCGGUUAAAAAAGCGAUCUUCACCAUUUCCUUCAUGAUUUUUUUAUUUCUAAUAUUUUAGUUUUACAAGAUAUGCAAUACCAAUAUAUACUCUUAAUGUUUAUUAUUGUUAUCACAUACAUAUGUAUGUGAAUCCUUAUCCUUAUCCUUAUCCUUACUAAUAUAUAAAAGUGAAAAUGCUGAUCGUUUGUCCUUCCUUCACGUUUAAACGGCUAAACAGAUUUUAAUGAAAUUUGCACUAUUGGACAGCUUAUUCUU